Molecule: ribosomal RNA, 324 nt
Filed under: uncultured Mycobacterium sp.
Lineage: Bacteria; Bacillati; Actinomycetota; Actinomycetes; Mycobacteriales; Mycobacteriaceae
Description: bacterial SSU rRNA
Rfam family: Bacterial small subunit ribosomal RNA
Source: RNAcentral
UCCGGAAUUACUGGGCGUAAAGAGCUCGUAGGUGGUUUGUCGCGUUGUUCGUGAAAUCUCACGGCUUAACUGUGAGCGUGCGGGCGAUACGGGCAGACUAGAGUACUGCAGGGGAGACUGGAAUUCCUGGUGUAGCGGUGGAAUGCGCAGAUAUCAGGAGGAACACCGGUGGCGAAGGCGGGUCUCUGGGCAGUAACUGACGCUGAGGAGCGAAAGCGUGGGGAGCGAACAGGAUUAGAUACCCUGGUAGUCCACGCCGUAAACGGUGGGUACUAGGUGUGGUUUCCUUCCUUGGGAUCCGUGCCGUAGCUAACGCAUUAAGUA